Non-coding RNA from Ictidomys tridecemlineatus (thirteen-lined ground squirrel), 6960 nucleotides. Lineage: Eukaryota; Metazoa; Chordata; Mammalia; Rodentia; Sciuridae. The record is from RefSeq and is a predicted model, not a curated record.
AUGAAGGGUUAGGAAAAGUGUCCCCAUGGUGCUGGAUUGCAGAUACCUUUGCUACUUAUCAGAAGAUGUGAAGAACAAGGAACAGAAAGAUGUGGAGGCUCCUCAGUGAACUUCAAUAAACUAACCAUGCUACUAAGGCUAAGACAGAGAACUCCUGUCUGCUAACCAGUUAAACUAUUCAGCAGACUUCUUCUUGAAGCUCUCUGAUGGAGGAUAGAAGUGGCUUGAACAGAAGGGCGAGGGCUGAGAUAUAAGGCAUUACAGAAACCACUGCAGUUGAGAAGACAGAGGGAAGGACAGCUGUCAGAGCCUGUGCUUUCAAGUCUUGUGCCUGCUCUCAGAGUCUGAAGCACACAGCCAUUUCUCACCCUGAGGAAAUCAGGAAGCAGCAGGUAGAGGGUAGAGGGAGAUGGCAGACCUGGGGGAGGGCGAAGGGCCUCAUGAUGAUGGUGACUUCUUUCCUUAUUCUUGCUCCAGCAAGCUGCCGGCUACACUCAGCAUCUUCCCCUUUUCUGCUAAGGACAAAGCCUGUUCUGUUAUGAGAACUCGGCUAGCAGCAGCUGUAGUUUCAAAAAUAACCCAUGUGUAGAAAGAGUUUCUUCUUCAAUUUUCUUAUUAAAUAUGCAUGGGGAGGGGUAACUGCUAGUAAACAUUGUGGGGUUAUGAUUAAGAGAUCAAACAUUAAAACUGUACACCAACCUAUCCUCUUAUUAAAUAGAACACUUUUCUGCUCCAUGUUUACUAACUAGAGCAUGUUGUUUAGAAUGAAGAUAUGUAUGAACUGGAUAAAAAAGUAGGAAUAGUUUUGGGAUAUGUUCUCCUAAUUAUGGUUAAAUUAUGCUUUUAGGAACAUUAUUCCUUUUCUAUUGAUUUAUUUAUUUUUCUUGAGUUUACAUACCAGUGAAAAUGUGUACUUAUUGCAAAUGGGGUUCUUUAAAGCCCUCCAAAAGAAAUGCAUUUUUAAAAAAGCAAAUAAGAUAAAAAUACUGCAUAUGAACUGAUAAAUAUUUGACAUAUUCAUGUCCAGAAAAUUAUGUAAAUUGAAGAAUGUUAACCAUUGGGAACUUCAUCUGAUGCCCAAACAAGGUCAAUAUGCUUCUUAUUGUGAAGGCCAGUGUAUGAUCUGCAGACUGUAGUGCAUGCUUUGCAUGUGUAUUUUGUGUAAUUUAUGGUUAUAAAAUGGUGAGAAGGCCUAGGAGCUAUAAUUUAGAAAGACAAAACUACCUUAAAGCAACAAAAUGAGAAAGAAUGAUUAUAUAAGGUAAAGGAUCAUAAGAAGGAAAUUUAAUUCUUCAUAUGCUUUAUAAGUAUAUUACUAACUUGGUGCUUUUACCAUUUAUUGAUACUUUUAAAAAUUUCUCCUUUUCAAUUUGAGUCAUGAAACAUGCAUACACAGUUUUACUCAGGUAAAAAAUUGUGGUUUUUUUUGAGACAUUAAUUGAGAUUUAUUGAUUUCAUAAGGUGGGCAUAGAAAAAUGAGGAUUCUUAUUUAGGCUGGAAAUUUUUCUACUACUUUCCCUUCAACUUGAGGGCAUUCUGUCUUUUAAAGGAAACAGAAGAUAUUGGAGGAAAAAAGAAAUGGAAGAAGAAAAGGAAUAAAAAAGUACAGCAGAAAGGACAAAGAAAGAUCAGAUCCAGGACAGAGGGAAGAGGAAGGAUGUAGAGAGAAGGAAAUUGAAGACUGAGGAAGGAAAGAAGGGAAGAAAGGGUUCCUGGUUUGAAUUUGGAUAGUUCUCCUUCUCCAAAGGCCCAUGUGUCAAAGAUUUGGUCCCUAGAAUGUGGGUACCGGGAGUGCUAUGGACUUGUAAGAGUUGAGGCCUGAUGGAAGUUUCAUAGUCCUGUGGGCAGGCCCCUGGAGGGAAUUAUGCACCUCGGUUCUUUCUCCUUCACCCCCUACUUCCUGCUUUGUAAUGUGAGCAGUUUUCUCUGACAUAUACUCCCUGUCAUUACUAUCUGGCAUCUUUACCAGAGGCCCAAAGCAAUGGGACUGCUUGAUUUGGGACUGGAACAUCCAGAACUGUGAUUAAAUAAAACUUUCCCCUUCAUAAGUUAAUUGCCCCAGGUAUUUAAUUAUAGCAAUGCAAAGCUGAUUUAAUACAGAGGAAUGAGGGAAAAGAGCCGAUUUCUUCUCCAACUUCUUCCAGAAACAGUGUCUUGUUCUAAGCAGGCAUUCCUGUUAUUAUUGGAGGGGAGAUCACCCUAACUGGGUGGAGGAUAUGGCCAAUAGAAAAUUGUACCCUUAGAGGCCAGGCACAGUAGCACAUGCCUAUAAUCCCAGCAGCUCAGGAGGCUGAGGCAGGAGGAUCUUGAGUUCAAGGCCAGCCUCAGCAGUUUAUCAAGGCUCUAAGCAACUCAGUGAGACCCUGUCUUUAAAUAAAAUACAAAAAGGGGUCAAUGAUAUAGCUCAGUGGUUAAACACCCCUGGGUUCAGUCAUCUGUAUAAGGAUAUAUAAAUAUAAAUUUAUCCUUAGUUGAUGUCCAGGGAUCAUAGGGAACUGAAAUUUGACAUUUAAAGAGUAAAUUGUUGGCAAGGCAAGCUGGAUCACACCUGUAAUCCCAGUAGCUUGGGAGGCUGAGGCAGAAGAUUGCAAGUUCAAAGCCAGCUUCAGCAUCUUAUUGAGACCCUCAGCAACUCAGUGAGAUCCUGUUUCUAAAUAUAUAUAUAUAAAGGUUGGGAAUUUGGCUCAGUAUUUAGGUACCCCUGGGUUCAAUCCCUAGUACCAACAAACAAACAAACAAACAAAAAACUGUUGUCAUAAAAACCAUUUUUCCUGGGGCUGGCCUUGUGGCACAGCGGUACAGUGCUCACCUAGCACAUGCAAGGCCCUGGGUUUGAUCCUCAGCACCACAUAAAAAUAAAUAAAUAAGAUAAAGGUGUUGUGUCCAACUACAAUUAAAUUUUUUUUAAAAAAACAUUUUUACUGUUAUAUUUUCAAAUAAUAAUGUAUUUAGUCUUAGAUUUCAGAGUAAAAAAAGGGCUAACUUUUUUUUUUCUUUAUGUUUUACCAAAUCCUAUUUGCUUUAGGAACAUAACUAAAAUAAGAUACUAACAAAUACUGCAAAACAAUGCUUUGCAAUGACAACACAUUUGACAUGCUCUGGCAAGUGGCCCACUAUAUUUUAAAACCAAAAAGUAGAACAGAAGACUAUUUAGUUUCCAGUGACCUUACAAGGACAUUGGGUUGGUACAAGUGGCGAUUUAGUGAUAGAGAACAUUAGGAAAUAAAGAAGGUAAGAGUCUAGGGUUUUGAAACAUAAUCUCCAACAAGGAGACAAUCUGGUCUGUCUUACAGUGUGUGCUGGCACAUACCUGGUGCUAGUAUCCUGCUCUGCAACGUCAUCAUAUACUUCUUGGUCGUCUUCAACAGGCUUUGACGAUAGAGCACUGAGAGAGGAUUUCUUCCGUCUCAAAGAAUCAUAGUCAAUUUCUACAGCAGUUGUUUUAAUAUAGCCAUCUACCAAAAAGGAAAAGACUUAGGUUUAGGCAACUACCACUUACAUAUUUUAAAAUUGUGAAUAAAAUAUCUGUUGCACAUUUGUUCUUUAAAAUUCCCCUUUAUUUACCUGCUUUCAAUUCUGAAUUAUACACUUCCUAGGUGGACACAUUUUACUGUAUUCUGUCAAAGGUUUAUCCUGUUGUGUUUUGGGGUAAGUCUAGGGUGUAUUUUAAAGAUUUAAAAAUGACUCACAUGAAACAUUUCCCCAAAUUGUCACCUGAAUGAAGAAACUAAUGACCUCUGACCUCCCUAGAAUAAUAUACAACUUUACAUUGGUUCCCACUAAGAAUAUAAAUGAUGUGAAAAUGGGUCCAUUCUUGCCAUUUUAGAUUUUCCCACCUUUGACAACCCAGUAACUCCUAACUUGAUGGUAGUAGUUCUGGAAGAAUAUGAACAUUUAAUAUUGACUGAUGAAAAAAUAAAAACAAAAACAAAAAACCCUUCAAAGCCACAGGGAAAUGUACACUCACAUGACCCCCUUGCUGUUCGGCCCAACCAUUUUCCUUCAGGGUUGUCUGUGAUACGGAUUAUUUCAAUCUCUUCUCCUUGCUUGAAACUCAGUUCAUUCUUUCCGCCUUUGACAUCACAGCAAGCUUUUGCUAGAUGAAUGACUUGAAUAGGGCCCGUUAGCUACAAUGAGAGAGAAACAAACAAACAAACAAAAAACAGGUUUCCUUGCUAUCAGAAAAACUUAAAGAAUGCAGUUUGGAAAGAUAGAUAAGCCCACAACUUGCUAACCUGCCUAUAUCAACACUUUAACAGAAAUGUAGGGUAAAUGUCAUUCCUGGUGAAUGUUCUGCUAGGGGCAUUAGGGAAAACUCACAGAGGCCACACAGGACCAGCAAAGAACAGGUGAAUCAGUGUUUGGGGGCCAGGAGAGAGUGGCAGGCAUCUGUAGUCCAUAGGAACUUCAGGAGGCUUGCAAAGGCAACUCCUCAUAAUGGAAUAUCAUUUAAAUACAACUCUAUGCUGAGAGCUUUGUGUUUUUUAAUGGGAUAUGCUGGUGGUUUUUUGGUGAAGUGUUUUUCCUCUUUGCAUUGUGUAAUUAUUAUUUCUCUUUUUCUUUUCCUCCCUCCCUCUACCUAUCCCUUCCUUCCUUCUCUCUCUUUCUUUAUUCAUAAUCCAAAAAAUUGAUUUGGUUCAAUAGAUCCAAGAAAUUGACUGGACUCAGGGCCUUGGGCAUGCUAAGCCAGUGCUCUACCAUGGAGCUACAUCUCCAGCCCUGGGAAUAAUCUAAUUUAGAUCAAUAAUUCUAAACUCCUAAUUUCCUAAUCUUAAAUAGGUUUCUUGGAUCUUUUGAUAUGUAAAUAUGUAUUGUGAAUUUUGAAGAUGCUAUACCUUAUUUUAUUGAAUUUACAAUGGCAUGGUAUUAAUUAUAUACCAUUAAGAAAUUUUAAAACCUUAAAUUAGAGUAUGCCAUGAUAUUAGACAGGCUCAGUUCUCAGACUUAUCUAACUUUUUAAAAAAACUAAGCAUCUAUUAAUAUCUUAUGGAAGAAAUAUAUCUCCUAAAGUCAGUCUUGACAAACUUUUUGAAUUCAUAGCAGCAUGGCACACUAUUUUUCUUACUCAAAAAUAUUCUUUGAAUGAAUAAGUGAAUAAUGUAAAAUUUAUUUUUCCAAAAGAAGCAAAAGACCUCACAUAAUUCCUUGAAAACAAUGAGUAAUAUGUUCAUAAAAAGUGUAACAUAAAGCUGGGUUUGGUGGUACAUGCCUAUAAUCCCAACUACCUGGGAAGCUGAGGCAGGAGGAUUGCAAGUUCAAGGCCAGCCUCAGCAUCUUAUCUAGACUUUCUCUCAAAAUAAAAUUAAAAUAACAUUCUGAGGAUAGAGCUCAGAGGUAGAAUGCUUGCCUGGGUUAAAUCCCCAGUACUGCAAAGAUGAAAAAAAAUUAUAUAAUUUCUUUCUCUCAAGAAGUUAAUUUUCUUUACUUGUAAAAUAUAAACACUGGUAGCCUGCAUUCUGAGUAAAACAAUUUUUAUAUUCAAACUCCACUCAGAACUUACUUAUUGUAAGUCAGCUUUUUAAAAAUUUAAUAAGAGCAUAUAAUAGAUUCAGUGACUUUUGUGACUUUUUAGUUAAUUCUAUAACAAACUUUCUGUAAAAGUACUAUUUAUUCUUGCUUCACAGAAUAAAAAUUAAAAGAAAAAAAUCUGAGUCUUAGAGAAGUAGUAAGCCCAAGGUCAUAUAGCUCAUAUGUGCAGGUGGUUUUUGAAUCCACAUCUGUUGACUCUGUGUUGUGUUUUCUGCAUCAUGCAGUUGAAUCUAUAAUUUAAUAAAUAAAUCUACUAGGAAAUUCUAUGCAAAUCAAGUUGUUUUAAUUCCAAUCAUAUAUUAAAUGCUUCAGAAGAGUAAAUAUUUAAAGCAAACCUGAUAUGAAUUUAUGAAAAUAAUUUUUUUAAAUUCAGAUAAUUGCCCUAAAUGUACUUGAAAUGCCAGACUCAGAUCAGAUGGGCUAUGUUAACAAAGAUGGUAUAGUCAAGAAAGGACAGCUUGUGGUGAAAACACAUUGGGUGACCAUUUCAAAAAACAAUGUGUUCUGGUUUUGAUUUAUUUUGUUUUUAUUUCAAGUUGCCUGUUCCUAGAACUUUCUCAGGCAAACUGGGGAAAAUGGUUGACUCAAGGUUUGAAGUUGUUCGCCUCCGAGGAAGAGAAAUUGUUAGAGGAAGGAGGCACCCCAGUAAGACCCAGAACAGCUAGGGCAUAUGUUGAUACAAUACAAAAAUGUAGCCCAUGGCUUUUUAAAGACGGGUUAUUAAGUAUAUCAAUGGGACCAUCAUGGUAUCCUGUAGAAGGAUUUUUCUUCAACAAGAAAGAGAUGGCUAGUUCUGUUUACUAUACUUGUCUAAGAUCUUGUUUUUUACAGACAUCUGAUUAAUUUACAAAGCUAAAGUGUUAAAAUAUCAACCACUCAAUAUGAAAUCAAGUACUCUUUACUUAUUAAGUUCCAUAAGGUAAUAUAUUUAAACAUUAUGUGUGUUUUCAUAAAUUGGGAAAUGGAAAAAGGUUUAAUAUUGCUUUGGUCUCUGUGUCUUUGCUGAAACAAGGUUACUAAGUGUUAAUAUUCUAUCAUGUGUAAUUUAUAUACAAAUAGUAUAAGAAGUUUCAGUUGGGUUUCAAUUACAGCAUAAUAGUACCUUAAAAACAUGAAAGUAUUUCAUCUUAUUAAAGUGGAGUAAUCUUAUAAGGGUUGUUUCAGAAUGUGAUUUUAUAAAAAGCGUUAACGGUUAAAAAAGGGAUAUAAAAGGUUCAAGAUGUGGAAAUAUAUUCUAAUAUAAAAGGUUAAAGGUUAAAUAAAUGUUUCUAGAUGAGAUAAUCUCUGUGUGGUAAAUUAAAAAGUUGUAAAGGCCAUUUUAAAAGAUUUUGAGGAAACUAGACUUACUUUAAAAGCUUGAGAAAGGAAGAAAGAAGAAAAAGGUAUUUGUACAUGGCAGAUUGAGACAAAGCUUCUCAAUGGAGUAAAAAA